RNAcentral lists this ribosomal RNA (284 nucleotides) under Escherichia coli. Its description in RNAcentral is "partial 23S ribosomal RNA". It matches the Rfam family "Bacterial large subunit ribosomal RNA", at positions 1 to 285 of the family's 2925-position model. The record is from RNAcentral. Lineage: Bacteria; Pseudomonadati; Pseudomonadota; Gammaproteobacteria; Enterobacterales; Enterobacteriaceae. RNAcentral also lists the same sequence under 1 other name.
GGUUAAGCGACUAAGCGUACACGGUGGAUGCCCUGGCAGUCAGAGGCGAUGAAGGACGUGCUAAUCUGCGAUAAGCGUCGGUAAGGUGAUAUGAACCGUUAUAACCGGCGAUUUCCGAAUGGGGAAACCCAGUGUGUUUCGACACACUAUCAUUAACUGAAUCCAUAGGUUAAUGAGGCGAACCGGGGGAACUGAAACAUCUAAGUACCCCGAGGAAAAGAAAUCAACCGAGAUUCCCCCAGUAGCGGCGAGCGAACGGGGAGCAGCCCAGAGCCUGAAUCAGU